GACGAACGCUGGCGGCGUGCUUAACACAUGCAAGUCGAACGAGGUUCAAGGGUUAGCAGUAACCUGGAAAACCUAGUGGCGAACGGGUGAGUAACACGUGAGGAACCUAUCCCAGACUCAGGGAUAACAGACGGAAACGUCUGCUAAUACCUGAUGACGUCGGAGCAUCACAUGGUGCGCUGACGAAAGAUUUCUCGGUUUGGGAGGGCCUCGCGGCCUAUCAGCUUGUUGGUGGGGUAACGGCCUACCAAGGCAUCGACGGGUAGCUGGUCUGAGAGGAUGAUCAGCCACACUGGGACUGAGACACGGCCCAGACUCCUACGGGAGGCAGCAGUGGGGAAUCUUGCGCAAUGGGCGAAAGCCUGACGCAGCAACGCCGCGUGCGGGAAGAAGGCCUUAGGGUUGUAAACCGCUUUCAGUAGGAACGAAAAUGACGGUACCUGCAGAAGAAGGUGCGGCCAACUACGUGCCAGCAGCCGCGGUGACACGUAGGCACCAAGCGUUGUCCGGAUUUAUUGGGCGUAAAGAGCUCGUAGGCGGUUGAGUAAGUCGGGUGUGAAAACUCUGGGCUUAACCCGGAGACGCCACCCGAUACUGCUGAACUUGAGUUCGGUAGGGGAGCGGGGAAUUCCUGGUGUAGCGGUGAAAUGCGCAGAUAUCAGGAGGAACACCGGUGGCGAAGGCGCCGCUCUGGGCCGAAACUGACGCUGAGGAGCGAAAGCGUGGGUAGCAAACAGGAUUAGAUACCCUGGUAGUCCACGCCGUAAACGUU
Molecule: ribosomal RNA, 772 nt
Filed under: uncultured Actinomycetes bacterium
Lineage: Bacteria; Bacillati; Actinomycetota; Actinomycetes
Description: bacterial SSU rRNA
Rfam family: Bacterial small subunit ribosomal RNA
Source: RNAcentral